CCCAAGGUAUGACUCAUGAUUGGGGUGAAGUCGUAACAAGGUAGCCGUAGGAGAACCUGCGGCUGGAUCACCUCCUUUCUAA
RNAcentral lists this ribosomal RNA (82 nucleotides) under Acidobacteria bacterium 13_1_40CM_4_61_5. RNAcentral describes it as "partial 16S ribosomal RNA". It matches the Rfam family "Bacterial small subunit ribosomal RNA", at positions 1456 to 1533 of the family's 1533-position model. Lineage: Bacteria; Pseudomonadati; Acidobacteriota. The record is from RNAcentral.